Molecule: ribosomal RNA, 429 nt
Filed under: Pseudomonadota bacterium
Lineage: Bacteria; Pseudomonadati; Pseudomonadota
Description: Proteobacteria bacterium partial 16S ribosomal RNA
Rfam family: Bacterial small subunit ribosomal RNA
Source: RNAcentral
UGGGGAAUAUUGGACAAUGGGCGAAAGCCUGAUCCAGCCAUGCCGCGUGUGUGAAGAAGGUCUUCGGAUUGUAAAGCACUUUAAGUUGGGAGGAAGGGCAGUAAGCGAAUACCUUGCUGUUUUGACGUUACCGACAGAAUAAGCACCGGCUAACUCUGUGCCAGCAGCCGCGGUAAUACAGAGGGUGCAAGCGUUAAUCGGAAUUACUGGGCGUAAAGCGCGCGUAGGUGGUUCGUUAAGUUGAAUGUGAAAGCCCCGGGCUCAACCUUGGAACUGCAUCCAAAACUGACGAGCUAGAGUAGUGCAGAGGGAGGUGAAAUUUCCUGUGUAGCUGUGAAAUGCAUAAAUAUAGAAAGGAACACCAGUGGCGAAGGCGACCACCUGGGCUCAUACUGACACUGAGGUGCGAAAGCGUGGGGAGCCAACAGG